RNAcentral lists this ribosomal RNA (253 nucleotides) under uncultured prokaryote. RNAcentral's name for it is "partial 16S ribosomal RNA". It matches the Rfam family "Bacterial small subunit ribosomal RNA", at positions 525 to 777 of the family's 1533-position model. The record is from RNAcentral.
ACAGAGGUCCCAAGCGUUGUUCGGAUUUAUUGGGCGUAAAGGGUGCGUAGGCGGUCGCCUAAGUCAGGUGUGAAAUCUCGGGGCUCAACCUCGAAACUGCACUUGAUACUGGGUGGCUUGAGUACUGGAGAGGAGACUGGAAUUUACGGUGUAGCAGUGAAAUGCGUAGAUAUCGUAAGGAAGACCAGUGGCGAAGGCGAGUCUCUGGACAGUUACUGACGCUGAGGCACGAAGGCCAGGGGAGCAAACGGGA